UACGUAGGGUCCGAGCGUUGUCCGGAAUUACUGGGCGUAAAGAGCUCGUAGGCGGUUUGUCGCGUCGAAUGUGAAAACCCGGGGCUCAACUCCGGGCCUGCAUUCGAUACGGGCAGACUAGAGUUCGGUAGGGGAGUCUGGAAUUCCUGGUGUAGCGGUGAAAUGCGCAGAUAUCAGGAGGAACACCGGUGGCGAAGGCGGGACUCUGGGCCGAUACUGACGCUGAGGAGCGAAAGCGUGGGGAGCAAACAGG
This 253-nucleotide ribosomal RNA is filed under the name uncultured bacterium. Its description in RNAcentral is "partial 16S ribosomal RNA". It matches the Rfam family "Bacterial small subunit ribosomal RNA", at positions 524 to 776 of the family's 1533-position model. The record is from RNAcentral.